RNA transcript from Kogia breviceps (pygmy sperm whale), 874 nucleotides. It is a transcript of the gene named COMM domain containing 5, with no coding region annotated. NCBI's taxonomy places the organism in Eukaryota, Metazoa, Chordata, Mammalia, Artiodactyla, Physeteridae. The record is from RefSeq and is a predicted model, not a curated record.
GGCGUGCGCUGCAUGCCGGGAGUCGCGAGUAUAGUCGCGCUGGCUCCGCCCACAACGCGGGUAUGGGGUACUCGCGCUGUCCUGGCGAGUCCCGGGAUUCUUCGGGCGAAGAGGGGCGCCCCCGGCCUGGGUCACCCGGGGCCCGGGGUGCGACGGGCGGAGAGGGGCGGCUGCUGGCCAGGUGAUGUCGAAGCGUUCCCUCCAGCCCCGCGGUCCGCACCACGGCCGACAUUGCCUGUCAGAUCGCUCCUGAGAUUCUUCCGAUCCCCUUCGGUGCGGUGCAGUUGACAUUUCCUACGUGUCGGUGUGGAUUUGGUGUAAUUUUACCUACUCAAACCAUGUUGGACUUCCUGGAAAAGAUUUCACUUUUCCUCGAUUCUGGAAAGUUAUCAGCCACUGUCUCUUAAAAUAUUGGCUCUCCUCCAUUCUUAUAGGUUCUCCUUAUGUAUCUGUCAGGUAAACUGGACGGCCUGUGUCCUCCGUGUCUCUACGAUUUUCUCUCUUUUUGCUCUGUCAUCUUAACUCUUGCUCCCUCUCCGUUGUGCACACUUGAGAAAGCCCAGUCUGGAGGAACCCCACCAUUCUCCAUCAUGAAUGCUGCAGAAACAUCACAGACCUGCGCUGGCUGGCUUCACUUUAAACGUAGACGGAGCACUUCACACUCCUUGGCAAUCUUGUGAUUUUUCUCCAGAGGGGACUUCCCUGGUGGUGCAGUGGUCAAGAAUCGCCCUUCCAAUGCAGGAGACACGGGUUCAAGCCCUGGUCUGGGAAGAUCCCACAUGCCGCGGAGCAACUAAGCCCGUGCGCCACAACUACUGAGCCUGCACUCUAGAGCCCGCGAGCCACAACUGCUGAAGCCCGCUCACCUAGAGCC